Molecule: ribosomal RNA, 868 nt
Filed under: uncultured archaeon
Lineage: Archaea
Description: bacterial SSU rRNA
Rfam family: Archaeal small subunit ribosomal RNA
Source: RNAcentral
CUCCGGUUGAUCCCGCCGGACCCGACUGCUAUCAGAGUGGGACUAAGCCAUGCGAGUCAACAUAGCAAUAUGUGGCAUACGGCUCAGUAACACGUAGUCAACAUGCCCAGGGGACGUGGAUAACCUCGGGAAACUGAGGAUAAACCGCGAUAGGUCAUCACUUCUGGAAUGGGUAAUGACUCAAAUCUACAUGGCCCCUGGAUUGGACUGCGGCCGAUCAGGCUGUUGGUGAGGUAAUGGCCCACCAAACCUGUAACCGGUACGGGCUCUGAGAGGAGGAGCCCGGAGAUGGGCACUGAGACAAGGGCCCAGGCCCUAUGGGGCGCAGCAGGCGCGAAACCUCUGCAAUAGGCGAAAGCUUGACAGGGUUACUCUGAGUGAUUUCCGUUAAGGAGAUCUUUUGGCACCUCUAAAAAUGGUGCAGAAUAAGGGGUGGGCAAGUCUGGUGUCAGCCGCCGCGGUAAUACCAGCACCCCGAGUGGUCGGGACGUUUAUUGGGCCUAAAGCAUCCGUAGCCGGUUCUACAAGUCUUCCGUUAAAUCCACCUGCUUAACAGAUGGGCUGCGGAAGAUACUAUAGAGCUAGGAGGCGGGAGAGGCAAGCGGUACUCGAUGGGUAGGGGUAAAAUCCGUUGAUCCAUUGAAGACCACCAGUGGCGAAGGCGGCUUGCCAGAACGCGCUCGACGGUGAGGGAUGAAAGCUGGGGGAGCAAACCGGAUUAGAUACCCGGGUAGUCCCAGCUGUAAACGAUGCAGACUCGGUGAUGAGUUGGCUUAUUGCUAACUCAGUGCCGCAGGGAAGCCGUUAAGUUUGCCGCCUGGGGCGUACGGUCGCAAGACUGAAACUUAAAGGAAUUGGCGGGGGAGCA